GGACACGCUGGCGGCAUGCCUAAUACAUGCAAGUCGAACGCGGCCAUCCGGUGCUUGCACUGGUGAAGCCGAGUGGCGAACGGGUGAGUAACACGUGAGAAACCUGCCCUGGAGUGGGGAAUAACUCGAAGAAAUUCGAGCUAAUACCGCAUACCUUCUCUUCACCGCAUGGUGAGUUGAAGAAAGAUUUAUCGCUCUAGGAGGGUCUCGCGGCCUAUCAGCUAGUUGGUGAGGUAAUGGCUCACCAAGGCAUCGACGGGUAGCUGGUCUGAGAGGACGAUCAGCCACACUGGGACUGAGACACGGCCCAGACUCCUACGGGAGGCAGCAGUAGGGAAUCUUGCGCAAUGGGCGAAAGCCUGACGCAGCAAUGCCGCGUGCGGGACGAAGGCCCUAGGGUCGUAAACCGCUUUCAGUAGGGACGAAAAUAGACGGUACCUGCAGAAGAAGCUCCGGCCAACUACGUG
RNAcentral lists this ribosomal RNA (467 nucleotides) under uncultured bacterium. Its description in RNAcentral is "bacterial SSU rRNA". It matches the Rfam family "Bacterial small subunit ribosomal RNA", at positions 33 to 507 of the family's 1533-position model. The record is from RNAcentral.